Podarcis lilfordi (Lilford's wall lizard) is the source of this 6501-nucleotide non-coding RNA. The record is from the annotation of a GenBank genome assembly. NCBI's taxonomy places the organism in Eukaryota, Metazoa, Chordata, Lepidosauria, Squamata, Lacertidae.
AAGAAUGAGUUAAUCACACACUGUGUUGAGUAAAGGAAUACAUCACACACACACACACACACCCCUUCUGCAUUUAUAGCCUAUGGUUUCUAAAUCAUGAAUAAAGGACUUGACAUUUCAUUUUAGUAAAAGUAUAAUUAAGGUAAGAUAUGCUAUAAUUCCAUAACUUAUAAAAACAGAUGAUUUAAUCAUAGGGAAUGAAAUAUAGUGUGCAGCAAACACAUCCUCAACUAGGCUUAUUAAUUUUAUAUUAAUGAUGCACCAUAAUUGUUUUUAUCUUCAUAAUAUUUACCUUUCAAUCUUCCAUAUUCAAAGAUAUAUUCAUGCUAUUUUUUGUUGGGAACAAAUGCUGCAAUAUUCUUGUUGCAAACAUCUAAGAGAACUCAAGCAGCUAAAAUUAAUAUUCUAUUUAUUUAUUUAGAAGAUAUAUAGUCAUUCCCCAAAAAGUUAGAUGAUGAAAACUUCCAAAAUGCAAAUCAAAUACAAUUUCUUGUUCUUACAAAUACUUCAUUAAAAACUAAUUGAGUGAAUUUUAUGUUUUAUAAUUUAAUUCCAUUAUAUAAGCAACAAUGAAUAUUUCUCUAAACAGUAAGUUUAGUAGAAAGAUGGCAAAAUGGGAUCAUCACGUCAAGUGAAUUGUUUUUAUUUAUUUUUCUGGUAGAGCAACUCCCUGAUGGGAAUGGUGGGAUACAGGGCUGUGUUCUCACCCCAACUCUCUUUGGCAUAUUCUUCUCCCUGUUGCUUUCCUAUGCCUUCAGUUCAGCUGAAGCCAAUGUGUACUUCCAUUCAAGGAGCGACAGAGGUCUAUUCAACCUAGCACAUUUUCAUGCCAAGACAGAAGUGUAGUGGGUUCUUAUCUGUGAGAUUUUGUUUCCAGAUGUUGCAGCCUUGAUAGUGCACUCCAAGGAACCUUCAGAGACUCAUCAAACAUUUUCCCCAAGCCUGCGUGGAGUUACCAGCAGCCUGAUGGAUACCAACAACUUGGAUCAGCAUGUCACCAGCACUCCACACAUCAGUACUGGUGACCACAUGCUUGAGCUGGUAGAUGACUUUGUCUACCUGGGCUCCACCAUAACCACCAACCUUUCCAUUGAUGCUCAGUUGGAGAAGCAUAUUGGUAAGGCAGCUACGGUAAUGGCUUGCCUCUCCAAAAGGGUAUGGAAGAAUGUGAUGUUAACGACCAGUACCAAGUUGAAGGUGUACCUGGCUUAUAUGCUGAGCACUAAUUUAUGGAAGUGAGUCAUGGACAACUUAUACCCACAAGGAGCAACACCUAAAUGCCUUCCAUAUGCACUGUGUCAGGGAGAUUCUGGGCAUCACAUAGAGUCCCAAACAAAGAUGUGUUCUUCCAAGCCCACAUUUCCAGCAUUUUCACACUUCUGUCUCAGCUACGUCUAUGCCGCCUUGGUCAUGUACACAGAAUGGAAGAUGGCAGGAUCCCGAAGCAUGCGCUUUAUGGGGAGCUGGCCUCAAGCACCAAGCCUGUUUGCAGACCAACUCUGUGUUAUAAAGAUGUCUGCAAAUGUGGCAUGAAGGCUGACAAAAUUAACCUCGCCAUGUGGGGAUCCCUUGCAGAUGACCACAGUGCCUGGAGACAGAGUUAGGUCAUAUAUUCACAGCAGUGACCAGAGGAGAAAUGACCACUGGGAGGAGCACAGAAAGAAGAAACACCAUGGUGCAUUUGUAGCAGCUAAAUGACGCCUUCUCUUGUUUUGGUCUCUACAUCUACAGCAAGCGCUGUAACUCUCCAGUGGUUAGACUUUGAAUCCAGGUGACAACCAACCUUUUAAAACUGCACCAAUAUUUUGGCUUCUUCUUGCUAGUAUCUUAUACGCUAGAAGGCAAUUAAGGCAUGUUUGUUUUUUUGUUUGGCUGUGUUCCAAACUAUACAUUUACCUAACUGAAACAAAUACACAUAUACUUAGGAGAGGCAAACCACUGUUUUAGCCAUCAUACAGCCUGAGUAGUAAUAUAGAAAUAAACAUUGUUAACAAUCUGUGAAACUUCUGGCAUUAGAUUGGGCAAGUGCAUAAGUUCUAAAUGCUGAAAAAGAAAUGGGGUAAAAUAUAGAUUUUUCAGAAAACUACAAAUGGGGAUUUGGGAACCCAAAGUACCAACAGAAAUAGCAGUGCUUUGUUUUCUUGAACUGUGCAGCCUUAAAAGCUGUGUUGGGCUAAAGUGUGCUUUCUAUCAGAGCAGUAGGUGUUAUAGAGAUUAUUUUAGUGGCAAGUCUGUGCAAAGAUGAAGGUACUUCAGUUUUCCUCUACUGAUUAGUGAAGUCCCAAAUGGCAAAUGUGAUAAACCUAGUCUUUUGAUACCCCUUUCCCCCCUUCAAUUCAAAGACGUUGAGAUCACAGGGUACAUUUUUCCAAACAUGAACUGGCGUUCUCCUCUGAAUUCUUCACAGAUCAGACAUUUAUAAUACUUAUGGCUGUCUCUCGACUUUUUUUCUGUUUCUUUGGCAUCUACAGAAUGUUUUAAGUAUUCCAGGACAGCCUGCCAGCCCAUAAAAUCAUUAUCAGAUUUCCAGUCUCUUGUGCCUCACUUAGAUCUUCUAAACUAUAUUGCAGACCUGUUUUCAGCUGAACUGCUUGGCAUGAGAAGCUUUUAAAUGAUGACUUCUAAACUUCCUGAAUCCAUUUUAUUUCACACUGUGACUAUUUUUGCAUCUUCCUGACAUUUGUAGUUCCCUUGAGGCAAAUGCUGCAGAAUGACAUGAAGACCUGCAGCCCUCACAGUUAGGUAAUCACAAGUUUGUGUACCUGAGAUGCCUUUUCAAAUUGUUAGUACAGUGGUACCUCGCAAGACGAAAAACGCGCUAGACGAAAGAGUUUUCCAUUUUUUGAGUCAUUCCGCAAGACGAAUUUCCCUAUGGGCUUGCUUCGCAAGACGAAACGUCUUGCGAGUUCUUGCGAGUUUGUUUCCUUUUUCUUAAAGCCGCUAAGCCGUUAAUAGCCGCUAAGCCGCUAAUAGCCGUGCUUCGCAAGACGAAAAAACCACAAGACGAAGAGACUCGCGGAACGGAUUAAUUUCGUCUUGCGAGGCACCACUGUAUUAAGAGAUGAAAGGGAAAGGUAUAAGUAAAGACUUUUCUGAACUGCAUUACUAGCAGUGCAAUCCUAUGCAUUGCUUGAAAUUUCCAUUGCGUUCACAGAAGCUUACUCCCAGGAAAGUGUACAUGGCAAUGUAGCCCAAGUGUUACAAGGAAGGCUUGAUUUAGAGUAGGGAACAGUGUGUCCUAGUUUGUAUGUUUUCAGGAUCAGACGUCAGUACUGAAGUAUGUAAUGUGAAAAAACGAGUGACUCAGAAUAUAUGCAGGUAUCACCUCUAAAUAGGUUUCGCUUACAUAGAAUCAUAGAAAUGGAGAGUUGGAAGGGACUCCAACUCUACAUUUCUAUUUCCCGUAUUUAGUUGAUACAUGAAUCUCAACUAAAUGACCCAUGACAGAUGACCACCCAACCUUGGUUUGAAGUCUUGAUUCUUCUGGCAAAAGGCUUCUAGGCAGAAUUGAUCCCCCAAACCUUUAAGAAGACAGGAGGUGAAAAAUGCAGUUCCCAGAAUUAUUUGUUGGAGGAAGUGUGAUUUUAAUGUACUUUAGAGGUAUUGGAUAUGAGUUCCCACUGGAUCCAAGCUUUCUAUAGUAUAACAUUUGCUAGGAUAAAGUAUGUGAGAGCUUGGACAAACACCAAUGGACAAAUAAAGUGGGUCAUCUGAGGAAAUUAUGGGAGCAACUCAUAAGAAAGUAAGAACAGCCUGAUGUGAUUCUAUAAUCAUAAUAGCCCAUCUAUGAUUCUAUUAUCUAGUCCAGCAUCCAUUUCUCACAGUGGACAACAAGAUGCCGUGUGAAGCCCACAAACAGGGCAUGAGCACUUUCCCACUCUGUGUUUUCCAGCAACUAGUAUUUAGAAACAUAAUGCCUCUGUGGAGGCAGAGCUGAAAACUCAAUAUUGUCAAACUAACAGCUUUAUUUUAGGAGGAAAAAGGCCACGGAAGAGAGUGACAGGUGGAGUUUAGUAACUGAGUAUGUCAAGAAGGAACUAAGAAGCUCAGGUCAAGGAAUAGACUACAUGUAUUUAUAGAAUUAUAUGAUAUAAAAAUGGAAAGGGUGUGAGUAUAUAUGUUCUAAUAUUUGGAAAUAAUUAAUAUUAUGUCUAGUCUAUUGUUUGGUAUAAAUAUUUUAGUAUUUAUAGAGCAGAUAAUUAUACUGAAUAGCUUUAACCACAUCAUUGCAAUAUAUUUAUAGGGUAUUUUGUAUUGUACUAAAAAGAGGAAGAAACUUAAGAGCCUCUAAAUCUCAAAUCACUUUCUGAGUUGUUAUAGCUUAGUUUUAUUCGUGUGUGUUUAGGCUAGGCAAUUGUGGAAUUAUGCGGUUGGGGAGAUGGAGGAUGAAACAAUAACAAGCAGGACCUGAGCACAAGAACAUUCUCCUGCACUGUCAUCCCCAGAAACUGGUAUUUGGGAACAUUACUCUCUUCAUCCAUGGUACGUCUGAAACUGGUCCAACAAUACACACAUUUUUGCUGUCACUGCCCUGUUUCUUAGCAGCAGUACUACUUGUGGCAGCUGGUGGCCAUGAUUCCCCCAUCCCCCCCCAAAAAAAACCCUUUGUUUGACAUUAUGUCAUUAUGCGGCAUUAUUCCAAGAGGGAUUCUGUACACAAAUGCUGCCCUUCACCAUGGGCUCCUCCAGAGCAACCUCCAGAAUGACAGUGCAUAAUGAUGUAGUAUUACACAGAGGGAGGACAAAAACAACAACUCUAGGAGAAAGAAGCACUGCCACAUAUUUGGAAAUUUUAAUGUAUUUACCCCCCCAACAAAGGAAGUUGUGUUGGCCCAUAAGAAAAAUGGCAGAAAUUCAUAUUGGGACAAUGCCUUUAUAAGUCACAAAAUAGUGUGCAGGCUUUCAAAUUCUCUAGAACUCAACAUCAGGCUAGAUGGUAAACACAAAGGGGAGAGAAGAGAAAGAAAGUUUGCUACCAGUACAACCAUGAGUCUGAUUUAAUAAGAAUCUUAAGAUGGAACUUGCCAGGAGAUAGCAAUGAUGUUUCAGAUUGCAUUAUGGAAACUAAAGAGAAACUGCAGGGCGGUUCCCUGAUAGACGAAGAACUAGAAUAAGCAGAAAGCUAAUUUUCUUGGUAAUCUACCAAGGAGCUUGUGUAUUUGUCUUCAGAAUCUCAAUUGAAUGUCUGCUACCUCCUCCUGCAUUCCACCUUUAGACUCCUACAAGAUGCAACUCCUGGCUUUAGCACCAGCCAUUCCCAACUGCAGCUCACUUGUUUACCAUCUAGCUGUCAGGGAUGUCAGGGACUGGGCAGAGGAGGAGUGGUAGAGACCUCCACCUCAAGAAGUGUCCGAGCAGGAGCAAGAUGAGGAUACAGUGGACCCAGAUUCAUGGUGGUGGCUAACAGGACACACCCCAGAGGAAGAAGCAAAGAGCUGGGAAAUCAUGGAAGAUGAGGAACAGGAGCAAGCUAGCAGAUGCUCUAGUCCUGAACAGACACUCGGAGAAAGAGUACAGCAUACAGUGGACACGACAUCACUUGAAAGCCUGGUGAAAUCUUCUCCUUCCUCACAGACCAGGAGAUCUCUUCAUAUCUUGGAGCAGAAGGCUAAACAGACAGAAAGAGUCCGUUGCCAUCCACCAUAGGCAGCAAGAAGGGGUUGGGAAGCUAGGAAGUGCCACAAGGGGGUGGAGGGGGCACUCUGAGCAUCGUCUCGAGACUGAAGAGAGCAUAAUCCAUGGUCUCUAUGUGUAUCCUGUUGAUUUAAAUAAAAGAACUAGCAGGAGCUCUCUGUGUUUCUGAUUUCACUAGGAAGCUAGCUUGGGAGUUGUGACACUAGCUUGCUGAACAGCUUUCAGUGGAACUGGAAAGUUUGCACAUUGGUAGGCCUAAUAAAGGCAUUGCCCUAAUACAGAUUAGCACUAUUCUGUAAAAGUAUGGAACACAACCUGGGCUCCAUUCCUGUGUAUGCUAGACACAAUUUUAUGGAUGAUCUUUCUUGGAGAAUAAAUGCCAAGCUGUAGAUUGAUCUGGGAAGGAAUCAUGUUUCUUAAGUACAUUAUCACUGCUCUUCAAUUUGUGGCCUUUUACAACCACAGUAAAUUGACCGUAAAUCGGGAAAAGACUUUAAUGCUUAAUAGAAACUACGGAAACUGCCUGAAGUCUGCAUUAGUUUUGCUUUCUCAUUGUGGAUGUUGGGAAUUCCUUGGCUACAUCCAUGCCAAUCUUCUGAGAAUGCACAGUUGGUGUAUUGUACAUAUAUUAUCAGCUAAAUAAGCAAGUGUCUAUAUUUUAUUUAUUUAAAUAUUUUUGAACUGGUUUUGUAUUUAAAAAUCGCAAAGCAGUGUGCAAAAGAAUAAAAAGAAUGUAAUACACAAUGAAACAGAAUUAAAACAGCAUAGGAGACAAUUCUACAGCUUCACAGUGCCCAGUAAUCUACACGAUGAAUAUUACUACUCUGAAAGAACUUGGGUAAACGAAAAGGCUUUUAGCCUAUUCCC